GCAGGAUUUUUUAUCGUUAUUUAUUCAUAUGGAAUGGGUUAAUGUUUCAGCACAUCAAAUUCUUUCCUUCAUCAAACAUCUGAGUGCAUACAUGUGUCAACCAUUCUACAAACAAAGAAAGAUAGUCUCCCGACAAUAGCGAAAAAUCAAGGACCCCACAUUAUUACCUGACUUUUGAAAAGCAUUAUGAACAGUCAUGUGGGCAUUCCUCUCUAAACCAGACCCAGACCCAACCCCUGUCCUGCUGGAAAGGAAACCUCCUUUUAGUUUAAUGCCUAGUUUAAUGUGUUCUCUGAUGCUCUGAUCUGCAAGUGAAUACUUCAAAGAUGGCUGCUAUUUCCUCAGACAUUUUUUUUGAUUCUUGUUUCUC
RNAcentral lists this long non-coding RNA (370 nucleotides) under Bos taurus (domestic cattle). RNAcentral's name for it is "long non-coding RNA NONBTAT006812". Lineage: Eukaryota; Metazoa; Chordata; Mammalia; Artiodactyla; Bovidae. The record is from RNAcentral.